This 477-nucleotide ribosomal RNA is filed under the name uncultured bacterium. RNAcentral's name for it is "bacterial SSU rRNA". It matches the Rfam family "Bacterial small subunit ribosomal RNA", at positions 28 to 489 of the family's 1533-position model. The record is from RNAcentral.
GAUGAACGCUGGCGGCGUGCCUAAUACAUGCAAGUAGAACGCUGAAGGAGGAGCUUGCUCUUCUGGAAGAGUUGCGAACGGGUGAGUAACGCGUAGGUAACCUGCCUCUUAGCGGGGGAUAACUAUUGGAAACGAUAGCUAAUACCGCAUAAAAGUCGACAUUGCAUGAUGUUGACUUGAAAGGUGCAACUGCAUCACUAAGAGAUGGACCUGCGUUGUAUUAGCUAGUUGGUGAGGUAACGGCUCACCAAGGCGACGAUACAUAGCCGACCUGAGAGGGUGAUCGGCCACACUGGGACUGAGACACGGCCCAGACUCCUACGGGAGGCAGCAGUAGGGAAUCUUCGGCAAUGGGGGCAACCCUGACCGAGCAACGCCGCGUGAGUGAAGAAGGUUUUCGGAUCGUAAAGCUCUGUUGUAAGAGAAGAACGAGUGUGAGAGUGGAAAGUUCACGCUGUGACGGUAUCUUACCAGAAA